UACGAAGGGGGCUAGCGUUGCUCGGAAUCACUGGGCGUAAAGCGCACGUAGGCGGCUUCUUAAGUCAGGGGUGAAAUCCUGGAGCUCAACUCCAGAACUGCCUUUGAUACUGAGAAGCUUGAGUUUGGGAGAGGUGAGUGGAACUGCGAGUGUAGAGGUGAAAUUCGUAGAUAUUCGCAAGAACACCAGUGGCGAAGGCGGCUCACUGGCCCGAUACUGACGCUGAGGUGCGAAAGCGUGGGGAGCGAACAGG
Molecule: ribosomal RNA, 253 nt
Filed under: uncultured bacterium
Lineage: Bacteria
Description: partial 16S ribosomal RNA
Rfam family: Bacterial small subunit ribosomal RNA
Source: RNAcentral